GAUGAACGCUAGCGGCAGGCUUAACACAUGCAAGUCGAGGGGUAACAGAGGUAGCUUGCUACUUGCUGACGACCGGCGCACGGGUGCGUAACGCGUAUAGAAUCUACCUUAUACUGGGGGAUAGCCUUUGGAAACGAAGAUUAAUACCCCAUAGUAUGUUUGAAUGGCAUCAUUUGGACAUUAAAGUUUCGGCGGUAUAAGAUGACUAUGCGUUCUAUUAGUUUGUUGGUAAGGUAACGGCUUACCAAGGCGACGAUGGAUAGCCGGCCUGAGAGGGUGAACGGCCACAAGGGGACUGAGACACGGCCCUU
RNAcentral lists this ribosomal RNA (311 nucleotides) under uncultured bacterium. RNAcentral's name for it is "bacterial SSU rRNA". It matches the Rfam family "Bacterial small subunit ribosomal RNA", at positions 28 to 334 of the family's 1533-position model. The record is from RNAcentral.